RNAcentral lists this long non-coding RNA (1649 nucleotides) under Carica papaya (papaya). Its description in RNAcentral is "long non-coding RNA (CPAP_LNC006257)". The record is from RNAcentral. Lineage: Eukaryota; Viridiplantae; Streptophyta; Magnoliopsida; Brassicales; Caricaceae.
AUUAACAAACUAUCGCAUAUGUGACAUCCUAGUUCUUGGUGGGCCAACAGUGUCCGAUAGAAAAAACAUAUAUGAGUGCAUAAAAGAAUUAUACAGCAGAAGAAAAGUCAUCCCUUAUAAAAAUUUGGUAUUCAAAUACAUCUAAGGUUAAGAAGUUGGUUAACAAAAUAUAUACAACGUUCUAACCACUUCUUUCAUUACAAAAUAAUUGUUCAUCAAAGUACAAUCAUUCACAUGUACUCAAAUAUCUACUACAGAUCCGCAAACGGAUCUAAACAAGCUUCAAAGGGCAGCUGGAGGAGCGAUUCUUCACUUUCCUCAUUGUUUGAAGGUAAUGGAUUCGGGUGAGCUUCAUAAACCUCAAUAAGAAAAAUAAUAUUUAAACUACGCUACUAAAGUUUCUAAGGUUAUUUAUUUUAAAAACUCAUCGUUACCUUUACAAUCAAUGAACUUACCAUUGGAGACCAUCUCAGAAUAGGUUCAUUUAAAAUACCAUUGAAAAUGUUUACUUUUAAUUAAUCAGAAUACAUUUUUUAAUGCUAGUUCUAUAACAAAAUAAUAAAACAAAACAGUGAGAAACAUAGCAGAAACCAAUAGAACAAACAAUAGCAUGGUUUGACAUAAUGGAACUGUGAUAAACAUACUCAAAUUUAUAAAUAGUCUAAGCAUGGAUAACCAAUCAACAGUCCUAGUUAGACAGUUAAACAUUUUGAUUCAAUUACGGAUUUUAUAGAUCUUCGUAUGAAUCCAUUUUAAAUUAUAUCAGCAGAUGGCAGAAGGGAUCCAUAACUAUUACUAUGAAUGGGAAACAGUUCAAUUCAAUAUAUCGUAAAGCAGUUAAAAAUUAUGAUCAUGAUCGUACUUCACCACUGUGGCCCCUACAAUCAGUCACAAUCCGCUCUCAUCAUAGGGAACGUCAGUACUAUUCACAAGGAGCAUUUCAUCAACAAUUGGUGAAAGUCAUAUUCGAUCGCCUCUUAGUGAUAACAGUUAAGUAUAUUGUAGUUUUUCCACUUUUCUUACCAGUUUAAAAUCACAAUCAAAUUUACAAUCCAAAUCAUUCAUUUCGACCCAUAAGGCUCAUCCUCGAAUCUUAAUACCUACCCGUUUCUCCACCAUUCUGAAUUACUAAAAUACUGCCAUUGAGCCGAUGCCAACUCUGGGUCAACUAAACAUCCCAAACCUGUUGAGGACCAUUGGCUAACCUGACCUGAUAAAGUCCAACACCCAAUCCAAACCCUGUGGGGGUCUAAUAACUAAACCUAACCAAUUUGGGACCAUCAACCCAGAUUGGGCCAUCGAGUUACCUUCUCGAGCCAAGGCCCAAUUGCGUAACCCUCCAGGCCAUCCCCCAAAGAUAAGGCAGAAGGCCCAACCCGCACACACAACGUACCGUUCAAAAAAUAAAUUUUUAUUUUCAUGACUCAACUUAAACAUGCACUUUCAUAUACACACAAAAUUCAAAGACAAAACACUCAAAUUUCAUCAUACACUCGACAAAAUACGAUCAUUAAACAAUGUUCAUCACAUGAACAAAAAUAAACCAAACAAUUAUGAAAUUUAAUUACCUUUUAAAUAUUUUUAAAGUCGAGAAAUCACACUUAGGAGGGUAAGAGAAAGUACCAAAAACCCUUACCUAAACUUUCNNN